UAAAUCCGGUAGGUAAGGUUACCAUAGGGAUACGGACUGCUACCGCAAAAUAGUGGAGACACUAUUAGUUGGUCAGCAAACCUCGUCGAAAACAAGGCGAGAUUUAACGCAGUUUCAUUGCCCUACGGUGCUAAAGCCCGAAUGGU
RNAcentral lists this small RNA (146 nucleotides) under human gut metagenome. RNAcentral's name for it is "M-box riboswitch (ykoK leader)". It matches the Rfam family "M-box riboswitch aptamer (ykoK leader)", at positions 11 to 156 of the family's 169-position model. From Rfam's summary of the family: M-box riboswitch, also know as ykoK leader is described as a metaloregulatory RNA that sense divalent metals and function as a genetic control element of genes related to divalent metal transport in bacteria. It was first reported upstream of the B.subtilis ykoK gene and genes with related functions in other bacteria. The record is from RNAcentral.